AUUGAACGCUGGCGGUAUGCUUAAGACAUGCAAGGUCGAACGGUAACAGGUUAAGCUGACGAGUGGCGGACGAGUGAGUAACGCGUGGGAAUCUACCUUGUAGUGGGGGAUAAGCCAGGGAAACUUGGACUAAUACCGCAUACGCCCUAAGGGGGAAAGGCGCAAGUCGCUAUAAGAUGAGCCCGCGUCUGAUUAGGUAGUUGGUGGGGUAAAGGCCUACCAAGCCGACGAUCAGUAGCUGGUCUGAGAGGAUGAUCAGCCACGUCGGGACUGAGACACGGCCCGGACUCCUACGGGAGGCAGCAGUCGGGAAUAUUGGACAAUGGGGGAAACCCUGAUCCAGCAAUACCGCGUGUGUGAAGAAGGCCUGCGGGUUGUAAAGCACUUUCAGUUGGGAAGAUAAUGACGUUACCAACAGAAGAAGCACCGGCUAACUCCGUG
This 441-nucleotide ribosomal RNA is filed under the name uncultured bacterium. RNAcentral describes it as "bacterial SSU rRNA". It matches the Rfam family "Bacterial small subunit ribosomal RNA", at positions 30 to 507 of the family's 1533-position model. The record is from RNAcentral.